Non-coding RNA from Cricetulus griseus (Chinese hamster), 2500 nucleotides. The record is from RefSeq and is a predicted model, not a curated record. Lineage: Eukaryota; Metazoa; Chordata; Mammalia; Rodentia; Cricetidae.
UAUUGGUUGUCCUGGAACUUGCUUUGUAAACCAGGCUGGUCCAGAAUGCAGAGAUCUGCCUGCCUCCACUUCCCAGAGUACCGGGAUUAAAGAUGUGUGCCACCAUGUCUGUCUCCCUGGCUUUUUGAAAUAUAUGGGAUUUAGGGCCUGAACUUUAGUCCUGGUGCUUCAAGGGAAAUAGUUGACCAACUGAGCUAUCUUGAAUGCAACCUCUAUUUUCUCCAUUCCUAAUAGCGAAUUUUAGUUGUUUUGACUUGUUUUCUAGAAAAAAAAUCCCAUUUCUUGGGUUCAUACACAUAAAACUUGAACUUGUAUUAGUUCUAACGAUCCACCUCAACCUCCCCAAGUAUAUAUGACUAAAACUAUACCCCACCUAACUUAUUUUUUCAUCUUAAAUACUUUUUAAGAAAGGCUAUGUAAGAUAAAAUUACCACAUUUUAGUGGUAAUUUUUUUUUUUCAAAACCCAACCCAAGGUGACUGAAUCUACUUUACACUGAUAAUGACCACUGCAUAACUGAAUGUUUUCUUGGCCUUUGCACUAGAGAUCUAACAGUAAACUGCUUUUCUGUCUUAAGAUGCUAGGGGUUGAACCUGGGGCUUUAACAUAUACUACAUAAAUGGUCUUCCACUGAAUACACUGUAGUUACACCGUUCCAAGGAUAUUUACUACCAGACAAUUGUACCUGGUUGUUUAUUCCCCCAAACCCCCCCCCAAGAUUUAUCGUAAACAAUAGCACAAGUGAAACACUAUACUUUUAUAAACACUGCCAACUGGACUGGUAAAGUGCUUACCUAGUAUGUACAGUCUGCUGGGCUUGGUCCCCAGCCUCCCAUAAACCGGGUGGAGGAUGCUGACCUGUAAUCCCAGCAUGAGAGGAGAUGGCAGGAUAAGCAAGUUUAGUCGUUUUCUGUGAUAAAGUGCAUUUGAGACCAGCCUGGGCUACAUAGUACUGUCUCAAUAAAGCAAUUGGCAGACAGACUUAAUUUUAGAGUCUCUUCUGUUUCUUUACCAUGGAAAAUACUUAGAAAUCCCACUGCUAAGGCAGUAAUUAGGAUACUUUUGGUGUUCACAACUGGCACAAAAAAGCAGCAUUGUUUUAGAAAUGUUGCGUAAGCCAUAAGGGGUUUCUAAGAGAUUAAAAGAUGACUGAGUAGUGGCUGGUUUGUAAGGAACAGACAAGCGUCUCACACUUGGAUCAAACAAACCUGACUGCUUCUGGAGGAGCAAGUAACAGGCAGAACCAAAGGGAACUCUGCUCCUCCUGCCACUUGUGACUGACGAGAACCUGGACAGUUACCACCUAUUAAAGACUAGCCUAGCUACAGAGUUCAGGAUUUAACUCCUGAUUUCCAGGAUAUAGGAGUGAGUCACAUCUUUUCUCCGCCCAAAUCCUUGUUCUUGGGUCAGAAAUCAACUGUGUCUUAGGCUGGGCAUGGUGGUGCAGGGCCCUAACCCCAGCACUGGGAGGCAGAGGCAGGCAGAUCCUGAGGCUAGCCUGGUCUACAGAGUGAGUUCCUAGAGCACCAGAGAACAGACUACAGAGAGACCUUGUCUCAAACAAAACAAAAACCUGCUUAAAGUAAAUACAGGUUUAGAAGAAAGUGAGGUGACAAGCACUCAGUCCCACCAAGAAAGGGGACGUCAACCAGCAAAGUGGCAUGACUUUGGGCCCCAAGCUGGAAAAGCCAACCUUUCUAAUGAGUUUAACCACAAUUCAUUUAGUUAUGUUCUUGGGCAUUCCAGUGUGUUCAUCAAAUGAACUGUUAAGUGAACAGUAGAAGCUAGCUUCCGGUGUUUACUGUGGGAACUAAAUGACUAAGGUCCAAGAUUUGGUUUUGUUAGCCAUUGUAAGUUGUCAACUGUACUUGGCCACACGAGAGCAACCUUUGGGUAAGCUGAGAAGCAACUGCAAAACCUCACAGAAGUGAAACCUUGUCUUUAUUGAACACUAUGGCUAGACAAGUAUUUAAAAUGUCCCAUCUGCAGUUUUGUUUCAGAACCACUUUCAUCUAUACCUACACACGUGUAUUUGACAAGGAACAAGGUUACUAUGUUUCUUGUUUGUUAAAACUACUAAAUUGUCUGUUAUGCUCUCCCUCUCCACCCAAGUAAAAAUUUGCAACUCAAAAACCCUAGAUAUAAUGCUGGGCGUUGGUGGCACAAGCCUUUGAUCUCAGCACUAGGGAGGUAAAGGCAGGUGGAUCUCUGUGAGUUCCAGGACAGGCUCCAAAGCAAUACAAAGAAACACUGUCUCGAAAAAAACCAACCAACCAACCAACCAAAAUCCCUAGUUUUAAUGUUUAAACUUACUGUUAUGGAGCUGACAGCUCCAUAGUACAAAUAAUACAAUUGGGCAGACACUUGCUGAACCUCUGUAAGGAUUUUAAACAAAUACAAAACCUUGUUGGUUUAAAUAUCUUUUUAAUAUUUCAGUUAUCAUCCACACUAGGCAAAAAGCCAAAUCAAACUCUGAAUAAAUCUUUGGCUGAUUUACAACA